Molecule: long non-coding RNA, 383 nt
Filed under: Brachypodium distachyon (stiff brome)
Lineage: Eukaryota; Viridiplantae; Streptophyta; Magnoliopsida; Poales; Poaceae
Description: long non-coding RNA (BDIS_LNC003863)
Source: RNAcentral
GACCACGGACAGCCGCUGCCGUCGGUGAACCAGGGCCACAGCCCACAGCCCAGUUCUUGAUCUCUACCACCGCCGUCGGACAUGCCGCCACGCUGCACCCCUCCCCCCUCCCCCCAAUACAAUGAAUCCUGAUGUAGCUGUCACGACUGAGACGCCGUAGCGAGUCAACCAUCACACCACACCACCCGGGGAAAACCAAGCUUUGCUCCGCAAAACAUGUUUGAAAACGUAUAGUCAACUAGCGCAAGUGAGAAGCAAUGAAAUAGAACUCAUCUGAGCCUCAAAGAAACAAAAAGGAAAUAAGUGAAGGAAAAAAAAUACCGUUUGCCAUCGAAGUGGAGAGACUGGAAAGUGACAAGUGACAACCAGGCAACCAGCCGUGU